ACACACUCCUUUCCCAGCCCAGGGGCACGCGAACAAAAUGAGGCUCAAGCUGACCAGGCCGAGCCGGAGGAACGCUGGGGCUUGGCAGCAGAAGGGAUGGGACCAGAGAGAAGGGUGUGGAGGAGACCCCAGUGAGGGCCAGGACAUUUCAGGUAAAGAGAGGUCAUAUCUCCGUACCUCACUUCCUGACACAAACAAGUUUUCACUGUUGUCAGCAACAAAGCCCUAAUAUAGCUGCGGAAGAGAAAAACUGCAUUGCAUUUUGCCUCCUGCAAGCAUCAUCAACAGUUACUGGAGGAACGUAAUUCCAGAAAGCUUGAAAGCCGUGGUGAUGGUAAUUAUGUAUCAAAUGCCUGGUUCUAUUUCUGUUAUUAUUGUUUUGUCAUUUCUGUUUUCCCAGCGAUCUGACUGAACUCGCAGAGGGACAAAUCCAGUUUUUCUUUUUGACUUUUGUCAAACUAAAUCAGGCCUGAUAGAAAACUCAUUGCUCUCCGGGGAAACAAAGUAGGAGCCACGAAAUGUCAUUUUAACAGAGCGUGGGUUUGGUGACUGUAGGAAAGGAUUUGAGGACGCUCCUUCUGUUCGGCUUCCUAUGUCAUGAGCACAGGCUCCACGCACGCACAGACACCACGGCUCCCGGAUGCUGUGGCUCCCCGAUCGGGGCUCCUGCAGCGCCAGAAGCCCCUCCGGGAUGCUUCGAGGGGCUCCCGGUGGGUGGAGGUACGGACGCCGCUGCGGCCGCCGCCGCCAGUCCUGCUGCUGUUGUUGCUGCUGCAGUCACGUGGGAGCCCCUUUAAGUUUCCAUAGAGAGGCCUCUCUGGUGUCACAUGAUGGACAUGAUAUAAUGAAACAACAUUGUGGAGAGGAAAGCAUUAGGGGAGCCCACGGCUACAAAAACAAGUGAGUGAGAAGAGGUGGGAGGAAGAGAAACUACGCCACCUCCCCUGCAGCCGAGUGCACGCAGCAGCCUGGCGUGACAAGUGGGCGACGCCGGGGGGCAGGGAGCCGGGGUCCUUGGCCCUGGCCGGGGACCCCACCGCCCACCGCGCGGAGGACAACUUUUAGCCGGCAGCCCAGACCAGCGCGGCACCUGUCUCCGGAGUCUCCACCGCUCCUCCCGAUUCAUCCCAGGGAAAUUCUCAAGAAUACGCUCUACAAAUCUACGUGCGCAUCAUUUUCACCUCGCGUCGCGCCCGGGAGGAAGGAACGAGGCAAGGAGCUAAAGCAGCGUGCGUUCAGCCCUGGGGCAUUUUAUUAAUGCUUUUACGAGUUAGAAGAGUUGGGAUAAUUUGCCAUCUGGAGUUUCUCUGCCUUGCUGAUCUGAGCUCAGACCUGCCAAUUUACCAGAGAUAAUUGAUAACACCCUGUAACAGCUGAGAGGAAAAUGGAAGAAACGGAGAUACUUUUAGUGAAGCAGAAUAAACCACUGAACAGGAAAAAUGAGGAAGCUGUGAGUACCAGUGGAAGGAACGAGCCAGGAAGAGGGACUGGAACCAUCUCAGAAGCCAUGCCCCUCAGGCUGGAACUUGCCCUGUCUCCUCGCAGAUGAGCUACCUCUUGUGUUUAAGAAUUAAAGGAAGAUGAGCUAGGAAUCAAGAAAUACGCAGAACUGAUUCCUGUCACUGGCGCCACCCUGCCACUUGCCCAGAGCUGUGGUAUAAAUUUUUUUAAUAGGCUGAAAUAAAAAUAUGAAUAGCAUUUUGGUAUUAAGCAUUAAAUUGAUAAAGGCUAUGAGAUACACCUGCUCUCAACCAUGUUAAUUUUUUAUUAUUGGUAUUAAUAAAUUAUUACUUACUAACAUAUUAACAAGAAUUGCAUUGAGAAACAAAGCAUCCACAGGCCAAAUCUUCUGAAUUUCAAAUGUUUAUAUUAAUGCGUUGUAUUCUAGAAAAGUAGAAUUGUCUUAAGUAGCUUUGUAAUAUAAAGUCAUCUAUCAGCCCAUUACACCUAUUAGAAUGUUUUAACCUUUAUUUCCCACUUUUUUGUUUCUAGACUGAGUGUACUUGGUCUGGUAUUUGUGGCAUAACUUACGGAACACAUAAGAAUGAUACAGAUACUAUUUAAUGAUGACCUAAUACAAGCUUAGAUAGCUAAGGUGAAAGCUUCUAUGGCCUUAACAUUUUCCUCUUGAAGAAUGUAUUUUCUGUAAUAAAAUACAGUGGCUACUUGAAAUCUAUAAACUUAUGUGAGGUCUGGAUAAAUCUGAGCAACUUUCUUCUUUGUGCUCCAGGAACCUACGCACUAUAUAUAUAAAUAAAGCUUAAGUAAACAUCACUGCAAUCUGUGUUUUGUUUGAUUAUAUUACGUAUUGCCUGAUCUUUAAAUAAUGAUGAAAAAUAGCCUUUAACAUAAACCAUGAAUGGAUAUGCACUUGAGGGAAACAGUUUCUUGGAUAAUUAAACUUUAAUUUCUCACCGUGGAUUCCUUGGAUCUUGUAAUAUUUUUUAAAACAGUCCUGGGGAUUUAUUUUUAAGGCGUCCAAAUGAAUUAUUAGUUCUCAAAAGCCAUAGUAUAUUCAUGGGUCGAUAUAUCCUCAAAACACUAUUUUUAAACUGCUUAGUUUAUUUUUCUUAGCGUGCUCAUCUGCUGCAUAAUUUUCUUUGCUAUGUAUGGGUCACAUGCUUCCUCCCGUCCAUAACUCACGCACUUAAAAUUCUCACUUCCUGAUUGAGCCAUCAGAUUACGUAAAAUGUAAAUCAGCCUGAAUACCUAGGAGCAGGAAUUUUAAGGGAGAAAAUGCCGUUUUCUUUUUCUGUGUCAUUAUUAACCCUUAAAUAUCAGAGUGAGUGUCUGCUCACCUAUUUGUAUUUGGAAACGAGAUACUGUUAGGGGUUUUUCUUGGCCCUUCCCUUUCAGAUUGAAUCAGACUUUGCUGCUUUCCUUAUACAAAAUAAUGUACCAACUAGAUAGACGGUGGGAGUGGUAUCGUUGCAGGAAUGAAACCAAAAGGGUUCCGAUGAUUGAGAGAGAUUCAUUUAUUUUUUAACUCUUCUCAUGAUCUGAAUGAAGAGUACAGCAUCUAUCAAAAGGUAACAACCUAAUAUUUCAGAAUUGCAAGUGGCCAUUUAGCCUUUCUGCUGCCUGAUAUAAAUGAAAGUAAUUCCUAGCAGGCAGGAUGACACUUGUUUUAUCACGAAUCUGACAAUCCAGCACAUUUUCUCAAGCAAUUUUGAAGUUGUCGUAGUAACAGCAUGGCAUUUGGAGGGUCUUUUUAGUAGUUCUUUAGCUAGAGUUAAUUAAUUGUAUUAACUCUGGAUGUUUUUCUUUUUACUCCUCUUUGACAAACAAGGGCUAUAAUUGCUCAAAUAUGUAUUUUGUGUUCUAUAUUUUUUGGUGACUAUAGUUUAAGGACGUGAUGUUUUUAAGUGGUUUCAGUAAAAGGUUAUCAGUUGAUUUCAGACACAUUAAACUUGGGUUUUUAAUUUCUCUGUAAAAUUCCACUAUCAUUGUAGGACCAGGAUUUAGUUUUAUUUAAGAAGUGAAUCUGGGGAGAUAUUUGCACAAAUUGAAUUGUGGCUUGCUUCCAGUGGUUGCAACUAUCCGUUGCUUUGAUUUUGGUGUAUUUAGAAAAAGAACUGGGGAAUGCAGAAAGGGAAAUGUGUCAGGCUUACAGGAGAAAAUUGUUUCUUUAGAAAUGCAACAGGCAGGCACACCACCAAAAGCAUGUUCCAUAAAAGAAAACAAAUAAAUUUGAUUUUGUGAAACUUAAGAAUGCAGUGCUCUUUGAAACUCUAAAAUAUACUUAAAUAAAUUCUCCCCUAGGAAGAUUUGUGGGAACUUUUUAUUGGUGGAAAGUAGGUUGGAACUUCUAGUAUUAAUAGUAAAACUCUGUGGCAGAAAUUCUUGCCAAUAUGGCGGUUGGUGAGAAAGGAAUCCCGUUUCUUGGGCAGGGAGAGGGUCAGAAGAAAGAAUUGUCUGUACUCAGUCUGGAUGCCGGGACUUAAAAAGUAUCAGAUAUACAAUGCUUUUGUUUUCUUGUAUAAGUGAACAGAGAGAUGUGACACUUCUAAAAGGUCUUGUGAGUUUUGUGGGUUUAAUGCUAAUGCCACUAUCCUUACUGUUCUGUGAGUAUUUGUUCAGCCACGGGUGAUUCAAGAGAGUUGGGGUAUCAGCAUGUGCAGCCAACAGCAGUCCAGGUGCUAAUGCACCACCGGUGAUGUCAGGAGUUACGAGACAGCGGUUUCCAAACACUGCAGUAAACAAGGUCAAAGUGUCCCGUUUCGCUGGAAGAAGUUUUGUUUUUAUGAGCUGGACAGUACAUGGAUGAAGUAAUUUUUCAAAACAAACUUUAAAUUUAUACAUGUGUUUUUUUUCUUCUUCUCUUUGGAUUAAAAUAAAUUGGCCCGUUGAGAUUAAAUAAUGGUUAUGUUUUUAAGCAGAAUUAUAUUUCAUAUGUUUUUCCAGUCUUUUAUUGAUUUUCUGUUUUUCACAGAAGAAAUGAAAAUAACUUCUGAUGUAGGGUUUCUUAAAUGCAGUUUGAGAGAGCAAGAUAGGAACCAGUACUUUCAAAAUAUGGCAAGUGCAAGUCACAAUCCCUAGUAAGAUAUUCCUUCUCAUUUUGUGCCUUUGACUCUUAUUUAGACAGACGUUUAAGUACGAGAAAGCUAAUGGCGCAGAUUCUGCUGACUGUGUGGCUCUCGUCUUAAUGCGUUUUCCAACCUUGAACCUGAGAAUGCCAGAGGAUUGAGUCUCUGGACGUUCAUCUGAGCAGAUAUCUGCUGGCCGCCUGGUUCCUGAGCUAACAAGUGGGUGUCCCGGGCUUGUGUGUGUAGUCACAACAGUGGAGGUGCCACGUGGCACCCAGAGGUCGACUGGGGCUACCGCGGGGCUUCCCGAUCCUCACAAGUGUGUCUUCAGUGUCUGACAUGAACUGGGAACUUGGGGCAUCUUUAGAAGCACAGACAUUUGGAGUUCCACGGCAAACCUGGAUGUAAGCACUCACACAGCUUUUAAAGUGAAAGCAGGGACCUUGAGGAAGGAAUCGCCGUCAUCUCAUUGCCGACCUGCUUACUGUGCUGGGAAACAAAGUAAGUUCUGUUUGUUUCUUUGUUAGUCUCUCCUGCGUGUUUUUUCUUGCUAAUGUUAUUAGACACUCAAUAUCCGGCAAAUGCCAAGUUUUUUCCCCUUCAUUGGGAAGUAGGAUAUAGUUUAUUCAAUAGCUGAUUGCUUCUUUUAUCUUUUCCCUCUUCCCAUAUCUAGUGUGCCGGCUUGCUGUUUAGAGAUAGGAAGAGAUUGAAAUUUAUUAUCAAGGAGAAAACAAAAAGUGUUUUGUUUUGUUUCUAAAUGGUCCAAGAACUUUGCCAUUAGGUAAAUGACUAUGACACAGACAAGGCGUUUUGCAUGGUAUGACCAGGAGCACCUCUAGCAAAACAGCCCCAGUUCGCCGCCCUGAUUUCCAUUUGGAAGCAGGCACAGUGGGUUUCCCCAGGACCGAUGUUAACGCAGAGGGUCCUUGUGCAGGAAUUGUGCAGAAACUAGGUGGGAAGGUGUCACAGACAAGAGGCUGCAAUUUAAAAACGCAUCAGGAAAUGGAAAAGAGCUGCGAGAAUAUCAAUUAUUUAAUGAUGUUGAUAAAAACAAAUUUAAUAUAAAAAUGAGAUACAAUGUAUAGAGACCUAACCCUGUCAACAGCAACUAAACUUUACUUUCAUGUUAGAAAGUUUUGUGCCAUGUAGAUUUAUGGAAAAUGUGCUUAAUUGCCUCUAGAAAAUAAUGAAGAGGCUUCGUCACCUCCAUAGAAGAUCCUGUGACACUAGCCUAAUUCUGACACAUGGCUCCUGUUUUCCAUUUUGUUUGUUUUUUUAUGCUGAUCCUCUCUCCAGAGAUGUGAUGUGGAUUGAUUAACUUGUAAUAUAAAGUUCUAUGGUUUCUGAAAAUGCAGAGCAAAUAGAGAUGAAGAGUGGUUUGUGAUUUGUUAUUAAAUGAUCUUCCCUUCUACAUUUAGGACUGAUUUUUACUGUAGAAUUUUUUUUUUUUUUUUUUUUUUUUUUUUUUGUCAACUUGAACAGCAAUACCUUGAAGGUAAAAGGUGGGAGCACGACUGGAGUGUGGAACUGGAAAGCAGAAACCAGGGGUGUUACUUCUAUGUCUAGUAUGGAAUGUUGUGAAUUUAAGUUAGAGCUUCUGUGUCCUGGGAAUUCAUAUUUUAUCUCAAAGUGGUGCUGAUAGGACUGGAGGUAGCUGUAUUUCAUUUGAAACAUUCCAGCCUCUUUAUAGGAAUAUCUGUGAAUUUUUAAUUCAGCAAACAUCUUUAAGUGUGUCAUUUAUGUAUAGCGUUGUAGUCAGAGCUGUAAUUGUUUCACCAUUAAAUUUACGGAAAUUCAGUUUGUAAGUGAAAAAUUAAGAACAGUUUGAAAGAAGGGCGAAUGAGCAGAGCAUUGCCAUCUAAACAGUCUUGUUAAAGAUAGUGCCAAGUGAGCAGGACUGUCCCUUCUAAGCUGCCCCUCCUAAUUAAAGGGAAAGGUGGCUGCCAUCUGUCUUCUUUCAUUCAAGGCAGUAGGGGGUCUAGGGUGGAAGGAAGCAACCCCCACUUUAUUUUUCUCCCACUCUUUUUUAUAGUCAGCUUUCUCCCUAGUCAGUGACCCAGAAGGUCAUUGAUGAUCUGUCUAUCUCAGAAUGAAUAGUAGCAUAAGCACGCUUGGCACUUGCAAAAAAAAGAAAGUUUAUAACAUGCACUGAUCCAUUUAAAGUUCUGCUUGAAUUAUGUCUGAGAGUAUUGUAAUCUCUGUAUUGGUGUCUCUGCCCUGUUUGUUACCAAGGGCACUACUGGCAGGAAAAGUGGGGAGUUUUACUUUUAUUGAUUUUGCUUUUUCAUGAAAAAAUGUUUACACUCCACUGGGCAUAAUCAGAAGAUGGCAGCACAUGGCUAUGUACAGGAGAUGUGGGGAUGUACAGGAAUAUUGUUCUUAUCAAAAUCAAGGACACCUAUUAAUGAUGAUACAUAUAUGUCAUCUCAGGGGAAAGCAUGAACAAGCAUGGCAACAGAUGUCCAAGUUACUCAGUGGCCUGCUGCAGCUUUUUGGACCAGUUAUUGAAAUAAUUCACAUUGUUUAGCUUUUGUUAAGCAAUAAGGCUUUUAGCCUUUUUCUUGUAAGAAUACGUUGCAGGAGAGUUUAGUUUGGGGUCAUGUCUUCAUUGCUUUGGAAAUGUAGAAUAGUCCUCCAACAAAAUGACUGCAUUUGCUUGCCUUCGUUUCCACCUCUGUAAAUAGAAGAAAUAUCUGCUGUUUUUAUAAAUAUAUAAGAGAAUAUGAAAUAUUUUCCAUCUUUCAUAAGAACUGUGUUAUAACUGAAAAAUUCUCAAAUCUUCAGUUAUGUUUAUUUUCAAUUUUUACACACUUAAGCAAGGUGUUAACAGUCUUCUAAAGAGAUUCAGUUGUUACAAGCCUUGUUUAGUUCCCAAGUAGCAGGUAUGGACUUCUCAGAACAUACUGGUUUUUAGAACUCUCUUUGUGACACAGAAGUGUGGUAUUUCUUAAACCCAUAACAAUAUAUUUGGAGAGCUCAAAUGUGAAAGUCAUGUCUGUAAUUUUAUUUAGAGCUUUUUUUUUUUUUUUUUUUUCCAAAUUUGUCACCAACUUGCAACGAGCUUUCUUGGAAACAUAGACGUGUUUAUGUUGUUGAGUCUUGAGAUGAACAUGUGUGGGCUUCUGACGACACUGAUGCCCAGUUUGUAUGAUUGGAUGAUACCUGAAAAGUGGGUCACUUCCUAGUCAGUGAAGGGUACACAGGGCUGAAUAGGCAGGGCUUUUUGGCUUUUUCCGUGCUUUUGUUUUUGUUUUUGGUGUGUGUGUGUACUAAUUUUAGAUACUCAGCUAGGUACUUGACUGGCUAUCCUUUUUAGCAUGUGAUUUAAUUUGGUUUUACCCAUCAGUAUUUAUUUCAAGGGGACUAAAUAAACACAUUAAAUGAAGCACUUAAGAACUUUCUAUCUUCUUUUGACUAUCCACAGCGGUGGGAAAUCUCUGUCCUUUGAGGGUAGGAGGGAGCCAAUAGUUAGGUCUCAUGAAUAUGGUAGGUGAUCAAACCACUGAUUCAAGUCAUUGUUUCAUGUUAUAAACAUGGACUGAGCCAGCUACUACAUUUCAGUAGAAGGUACUGUAGAUUCAAAAGUGAACAUGGGUCUGGCAUUUCAGAAAGACACAGGUUAGUGAGAUAAAUGACUAUAAAAAGAGGUAGCACUGUAGACUGAUGUCCUGUAACAGAGGUACACGUGUGCUGUUAGAGCCAAGAGGGGGUCAAAAUAAAAAGACAGGGCACGGUGGCUCAUACCUGUGAUCCCAGCACUUUAGGAGGCUGAGGUGGGAGGAUCACUUGAGGCCAGGAGUUCAAGACCAGCCUGGGCAACAUAGAUCCCCAUCUCUACAAAAAAAUAAAAUAAAAUAAAAAAAUAAGCCACACAUGGUGGCAUGCAUCUAUAGUCCUAGCUACUUGGGAGGCUGAGGCAGGAGGAUCCCUUGAGCCCUGGAGUUGAAGGCUAUAGUGAGCUAUGAUCACACCACUGCACUCUAGCCUGAGCGACAGAACAAGAUCCCAUCUCUGAAAAAAUGGAUGAGUGAAUUAAAUUUCAAAAUAGAGAUUUAAUGGAAAAAUGAGAAUUGUUGUGUACAUGAUUUAUGAAGUGGCUUACAUAAUAUAAUUUUGGACAUGAAAGCCCUGAAAAAUAGCUUCUUAUUUUAAGGAUGAACAGACUGGGAUUUAUUUCUGAAAUUCUAUAAUUCUCAGUCAGUUGUAAGGCUUUCAUUAUAUAAUAGACUUUUUUUUUUAACCAACGGAAGUUGGACCUCUUCAAAAUGUGAGAUCCAAAAAGGUUUUGGAUAUUGUUUGAAUAACUCUCUUCUCCAAAGGAGACUGUUUUUGAAAAAUGAUUCUUUCUGACAUGUUAAAAUUGAAUAUUUUUGACACGCCAAAUGCACCAAAGUAUUAUAUGUCAUGUUUAUUGCCGAGAGUAGCUAUAUAGCUUGUGGGAGACAGUUAACGUGAAGCUUUCUUGCAUCUGGAAGUAUGGGGAGAGAGAAGGCUUCUUCACACCCCCUUUCAUGUUAUAUUCUACAGGGAAAGAAUUUCUAUCAUGUAGACACUAGGUGACUCCCUUGUGGAUAAUUUCAUUUAACAAUGAUUUCUGGGUGUUGCUCUAUGCCAGGCACUGUUCUAGGAGCUGAUGCGAAGGCUCAGCUGAUGGGCUACAGACCUGAAGGCCUGUGCUCCUCAGUGGCACUCUGUAGGUAGAUACAGAGCCACCAUCUACUGGGUGCUUCUCCUGAGUGUGACAGUGUAGGCUGGGACACGAUGCUACCCUUCAAGGAGCUUGAAGCUAAGGUUCUGUGCACAGAUAAAAUUAGAAUAAAUGCAGAGAUGCUAUAACAAGAUGUCUUAGAAAAAAGAAAAACAAAGAAUAAAUGCAGAGAGAAAGAGAAAUGUAUAAAAGGUAGAGAGAUAAACAUACCACAAGUUCAUAGAAAAGAAAGGUUGUGUGUUUAUCUGUGGCUGGGAUGAUCAAGAAAUGCUUCAUGGAUAAAGAGCCUUUGAGCCAGACAUUGAAAGAAAGGUAAUGUUGGACUUGAGGUCUUGGAGUAUCCUCGUUGAAGGAAACAUGAGCAAAGGCAUAGGUAGGGAUGGGAAAUGCCGGGGUGCAGAGUGGGCAGGAAUCGAUUUGUAGUUGCUGGGCAAUGAUGUGUGUAAACCACUAAGGAGAAGAUCAGGUAGCAAAGGUCCUUGGAGGCCAGAACCCAGAGGGCCUUGAAUGGCACGUGACUAAAUGAUUUAAACUUAAGUUACUGGGGAGCAAUGGAAGAAUUUGAGUGGCUAGAGUCCCCAUCCUGAAGAGGCCUUGCGGGGAUCAGCAUGUGGGUGCCUCUGGACUGUGAAAUAGCCAGAGCUGGGAAGCCUUUUAGAGCUGCUGUUGUGGUCCAGGAGGGAGGUGGGGAGGGCCUGGGUGAGGGGAAGGCCACUAGAUGGAGAAAUUGAAUUUAUGAGAUGGGAUUUAGGAACUGCCUAGAUAAUAGGGGUUGGCCGAUGGGAAGCAAAAAUGCCCCCAGAGCUUUGAACCCAGGUGCCAUUCAUUAUUUCUAUGCCAUCUGCCAGGCAUUGCAUAGCUAUUAUCUCAUUUAAUCUCCUCCUAAUCUUGUGGGUUGGUAUUUUCAUCCUUAUAUCAGAGACGAGAAAACUAAGGGUCAGAGAAAAUUAGCAAUUGGUCUAAAAUUGUACAGUUGUAACAGGAUCUAGAACAGGGACUUCAGUACAGGCCUCCCUGACCCCCAAGCCUGUGUUCUUUCUACUGUACUAGGCUUGGAAGACAGCGUACGUGAGAGCAAAGACAAGCUCUGUCCACUCUGUGCAUAUUCAGUGUAGGUGCUGGUGAGAUUCCCGCCUUCAGGUGUCCAGCAAGUGGUUGGAGACAUGGAGCCGAAUCUCAAGGACAUUGGGAGGAUUGAAGGUCAAGGCUUAAGAACCAUCUGCAUCCUCAUUUAUUUAUUCAGCAGCUAUUUGUUGUGUCUUCGUGGACCAGCUUGGCAGCAUGAAUGCUGUGACCAACAAGAGAGGUGUGUCCUUCACGGAGCUGCCAGGCUGGGAGGGAGCCCUGAUGGCGUGGCUUGAGUGUAAGGCAGGAGGUGUGCAGAUUGGCUGUGGGAACUUACUGGCCUAACCUUGUCAGGUCAGGGAAGCUCUCUAGAGGCAGUUGUGGUUCUCAACAUGAGACUCAAAUGAUGAGGACCCAGUUAAAAAGUGGGAAAACAGCAUACCCCAGGCCGUGGAAGUAGCGCGUACUCAGGCAGAGCAAGAUAAGAACACAGUGUCUUUAAACCAAAAACCACGUGUGGCUGGAAUGGAGGGAAGAGCAAGGAGAUAAGACAGGUGAGCAGGAACCAGAACAAGAAAUGCCCUGGAAGCUGUGAGACGCUUGGAAUUCACCUGUGAAGAAAAGAGUAGCCUCAUCUGAAUUCCUUGCCUCGAUUAUGGUCUCCAAUAGAAGAUUAAAUGGCUGUGGAGUCUAGAGGUUUUUUCCUUCGGUGUGGGCAUCACCCCUUCUGAAAGGAUGGUGUAAUGGCUAAUUGUAUGUAUCAGCUUGGCGAGGCCACAGUACCCAGAUACUUGGUCAAGCACCAGUCUAGAUGUCGCUGUGCAGGUAGUUUUUUAGAUGAGGUUUAACAUUUAUAUCAGUAGAAGGAGUGAAGCAGAUUAUCCUUUGUAAUGUAUGUAGGCCUCAUAUAUCAUCAGUUGAAGGCCUUAAGAGAAAAAGAUUGAAGUCCCUAAAGAAGAAGGAACUCUGUCUCCAGUCUCCCUUCAGACUCAAGACUGCAACAUCGGCCUGGCACGGUGGCUCACGCCUGUAAUCCCAGCACUUUGGGAGGCUGAGAUGGGUGGAUCGCUUGAGAUCAGGAGUUCAAGACCAGCCUGGCCAACAUGGCAAAAACCUGUCUCUAUUUAAAAACACAAAAAUUAGUUGGGCAUGGUGGCAGGCGCCUGUAGUCCCAGCUACUUGGGAGGCUGCGGCAUGAGAAUCACUUGAACCCAGGAGGCAGAGGUUGCAGUGAGCUGAGAUCAUGUAACUGCACUCUAGCCUGGGCGACAGAGUGAGACUCUGUCUCAAAAAAAAAAAAAAAAAGACUGCAACAUCAACUCUUCCCUUGGUCACCAGCAUGCCCUGAAGAUUGUGGAUUUGUCAGUCCCUGUAAUUGCAUGAGCCAGUUCCUUAAGGAAGGAGGAAGAAAAAUUUCUCCUGAAGAAUUCAUUGGAAAUUAAAAUUAACUUGCGUAUUUUGUAUUCUUUGGAAUGUGAUGAAGACUGAUUUGAAAGGGCAGUGCUGGAUUUGGUCAGGCAUAGGAAAGGAAGACAUGCAGUCGUCCUGCCUAGCUCAUCCCCGCCACGAUGGAGAAGUGGGGUUGCUUUCGUUGUACUUUUUUUCAUUUGUUUCUUGCCAAGCCCAGUGGCUUCUGUUAUAACAUGUGGCAGCUUCUCCCUUGGAGACUGAUUCAGUCCAAGUUACCAUAAUAUUUAGGACCAGCUACAGAGACGUUUCUUCCCCUAAACCCAUGCCAAAUCUAAAUCAAACUAUCUUCUUCUCCUUAGCCGUUCAAAUAGCUCCAGCUCUUAUAUAAAAAUACGAGAAAUACACAGGCCUCUUUUCGUUUUAUUCCUGUUCAAACAGAUAAACAAACAAGGCACAUCAUGCCUAGGUUGCUUUGAGCUUGAUCACUUCCUCCUAAAGCAGUCUUACGCUGUGUUGAUUUUAAGAAUUGCAACUUAGGUGUUCUAGAACAUAUUCUGAGAGCAUAGUCAUAGUCUGUGAUCUCAGAAUAUGUUUGCUUCCUUCUAGAACAUCUGAGUUCUAGAAAUUGCGUACAAUAAACUGCUGUCAGUGCUGCUGGAGGAAGGAAGAGUAACUCUGACAUCACUGGCCUUCAACAGGUGUGGCGCUGAGCUUCUGGGCCUCAGAAGCCCUGACUUCUAGAGGCUGGGGGCCAGCGGGGCAGGGAGGUGAUCUCAUCAUGGAUGGCCACAGAUCAUCCACCUGCCAAACAGUUAACCCUGAACAAGUCAUGUCAAUUUAUUUUGCUUUUAAAAAAGAAAGUCUGCAAAAUAGAAAAAAAAAAAAAAAGAUUCUUCAUAAAUACAUUUGUUCUGAUCUGUAAAUACCCUGGUCAUUUCCCCCUUGGCAUUUGAUACACAUAGUAUAGACAUAUUUUAGUCAUCCUUGCUCAAGUAAUUAUAUUCCAUAACCAACUUUAUUAGCAUAAAUUAACUUCCUCAUAUUUUUAGCAAGAGUUACUUUCCUUCAUUGCUUAGCUUAUUGUUUUGAAAUAUGAAUUACUUCAGCACAGUUCAUUUUUGUGGAUGGCAUUUCUGUCUUUUUAAUUUAUAAUUAUUUGAUAUAUACAAAAGAUGGUAUGUAACAUACAAGUAAACUCUAAAGCACAAUUUUAAAGGUGCUCCAGUGAACCACCAUCCAACUUAAGAAUUGGCUCAUUACAAAUACUUGGAGAUCUCGCUAAGUAUCUUAUUCCUAGCAUUUUCCUGCUUUCCCACUAUUCCGAAAUUUGUAUUUAUAAUUAUCCUGAUUUUUAAACAAACAUAUAUUUUUAUCACAGUGUAAUGAGUAAAUGUGUGUUGCUAAAGGUAUUUUGAGACAUAUAAAAAUAGUAUCGGACUUUGCAUGGUCUUUUUGGAACUUGAGAUUUUCCUCCAUAUAUUUGCAAAAUUCAUCCAUGUUUUCAGGAAUAGCUACAGUUCCUUCAUAUUGCCAGAAUAUUCUAGUGUGUGAAUAUAUCAUAAUUUAUCCACUAUCUUAUUUAUUGAGGGGGGGUGGGAAACAAGGAGCUCUUUUUAUAGACAUGUUGAGUCUGAGAUCUCUAUUAGAAAUCCAUUGGAAAUGAGCAGGCAGGUGGAUGCUGUUAUUCAGGAGAGAUGACUGAGAUGGAACUAACAGCGUGUAGAUGGCAUCUAAAGCAUUGUCUUCCCAACUAUUCUUAGAAUGAUGGGCCAUUUAGCCCAUCAACUGAGAUUUCUGUGUUAACAGUUUUUUGUUUUUUGUUUUUUGUUUUUUAAUUUCUUAAAGGUCUAUCUGGUGUUUUUUGUUUGUUUGCUUUUUCCCAAAUCUGCCUGGUCACUUUGUUCAAGUGUGACUUGUAAGGGAGUAAACAAGGAGAGUAUGAGCUUCAAAGAAAAUGGGGGGAAGUAUUUUGCCAGCUCUCAUGGAGUUUUGUGAGAUCCAAAAGAAAUGCUAUAUGUAAAUUUGCUUUGUAAACUGAAAAAAGUUAUGCACUCAAUUAUUAUAUUUGAUGAUGGCACCUUGUUGGGUUCUGGUUAAUGCCUCAUAUUCACUGAGUGCUUACUUUAUCUAUAUUAACACAUCUCAUCUUUAUAACAAUCUGUGAGAAGUAGGUACUGUAGAUUCAUAUUUUACAGAGGAAAGUACAGCUUAUAAAUGGUAGACCCAGGAUUUGAAUUCAUAGAGUCUGCUUCUAGAAGGUGUGUUCUUAGCUCCAGUGCUAUGCUGUCAUAUUGAUUUCCUGCCUGCCUUCUCCUUCCUUCCUUCUCCCCUCCCUCCCUCCCUUCCUUCCUUUCCUUCUUUUUUUUUUUUUUUUUUUUU
RNAcentral lists this long non-coding RNA (14088 nucleotides) under Homo sapiens (human). RNAcentral's name for it is "non-protein coding LINC-PINT:34". Lineage: Eukaryota; Metazoa; Chordata; Mammalia; Primates; Hominidae. The record is from RNAcentral.